This is an RNA transcript of Falco peregrinus (peregrine falcon), 3816 nucleotides long. It is a transcript of the gene named unc-93 homolog A, with no coding region annotated. The transcript has 9 exons. NCBI's taxonomy places the organism in Eukaryota, Metazoa, Chordata, Aves, Falconiformes, Falconidae. The record is from RefSeq and is a predicted model, not a curated record.
AGUCUUAGCGGUGCGUUGCCACCAGACACUGCAGACAUCCUAAAGACCACCUCCGCUUGAAUCUGUCGACGUUAUAGCACGGACUUUAUUGGGAUUCCACUUUGCUCCCAAGUUCAAAUCUCUCCUCUGCUACAGCUGCAGGAAGGGUCUGUUCGACGUGCCAGGCUUAGGGGCAAAGAGGACUUUGCUCAGUAGGGGAAUAUUCAAAAACUCAGUGAGGACUUGCAGCAUGGUCAGUGCCUCAAGAACAAAAGGACAAUGCAGUUUCAAAAGGGCAGGCUCUGAAAACAGGGGAAAGCAGGGGCACGCAGGGCAAGGUGGGCUGGCUAGGAGGAAAGUUUUCACUCCUUGAAUCAGGUAGCCCUGGCAAGUGCAUCCCACAAAGGCUGGGUUUUUUCUGGGUACCUGCUAAAUUCAUGCUUCUUGGCUUCUGGGCUGAUGGGAAAGAUGGGAAAUAGUGAUCUUCAUGAGUAUGACUUAGUCAAUUUGAAACACCAAAGCCACAGAGUUCACCAAGGAGGAAGACUCUCCCGCUUGCCAAGCAGCCAGCAACUUUGGUUCGCUGCACUGCCCAGGUAUAGAGCUGGUGUACAGACAACGCUGUAACACAAUCGAUCUCAUUUCCUAGUAUGCUUCCUUAACCUUAGCUGAGCAAUUGGCCUAACAUGGAUUUCAGUAUGAUCCUUUAGUUUUCGCCCUUUAUGGAUUAGUGUAUCUUUAUGACAGAGCAUCAUUUCACUGCUUGCAUUUUUCUCCUUUGCUAGUGAUAGCAGAGAGCCAUAUAAUGUAUGACUGCAAGACUAAAAUUGGUCCAAGUGUUGCAAGUGACUUUUAUACCUAUCUAAUAAAACCUGAUAGAUGUCCUUUGGGAGCACUCGUUAUUGCCUCUGUCACAACUGGUAAAUGAGUAACAAUUCCAUAAAGAGUUUUCAGUAUCAGUAAAAGUAAAGUUCAUUGGCCAAUCCUCAAAUAAUUAACAACUUUUUCCACUACCAGUGCAGUGAGACGUGACCUCUUCCAACGAAACAUAAGCUGUUUUUCUCCAACUCAGUGCACCCCCUGGAAUAAUUGGAUCAGCUCUGUCUACUGCCAGACCUUUUGUCUUGUAUGAAUCAACAUGGAAAGGAAUCUUAAGAAUGUUUUGGUAAUAUCUUUUGGAUUUUUACUUCUCUUCACUGCUUAUGGAGGACUCCAGAGUCUACAGAGCAGUCUCCACUCAGAAGAAGGCCUGGGCGUUGCUUCCCUAAGUGUUAUCUAUGCUGCACUCAUCUUCUCAUCCAUGUUCCUCCCUCCAAUCCUCAUCAAGAAGCUGGGCUGCAAGUGGACCAUCACAGGCUCUAUGUGCUGCUACAUCGCAUUCUCCUUAGGGAACUUCUAUGCUAGCUGGUACACACUAAUCCCUACCUCUGUGAUCCUGGGCUUAGGAGGAGCACCACUCUGGUCUGCCAAAUGCACUUACCUCACUGUUGCUGGCAAUUUAUACGCUGAGAAAGCAGGAAAAAAUGGGAAAGACAUUAUCAACCAAUACUUUGGGGUCUUCUUUCUGAUAUUUCAGUCCUCUGGCAUCUGCGGAAAUCUUAUCUCAUCCUUGAUAUUUAGUCAAGCUUCUACCAAAGUGGAAAUCUCAGAAGAAAACCUGGCAUGCUGCGGAGCAUAUGACUGCAUGACUGAUACCACCAACACCACCGGGUCAGCAGAAUCCUCCAGCUCCUUAAUCUACACUCUGCUAGGAACCUACACUGCUAGUGGUGUGCUAGCUGUGUUGCUGAUUGUUAUAUUUCUGGACCAGAUCAAAUUGGAUCAAGCAGAGACUGAGAAUGAAAUACUAGAGACAACAUCCUUUUGGUCUACGUUCCUAGCAACUUUCCAGCAUCUUAAAGAUAAAAGACAGUGUCUUCUAAUCCCUCUGACAAUGUACAGUGGGUUUGAACAGGGAUUUCUUGCUGGUGACUACACAAAGACCUAUGUGACCUGUGCCCUGGGCAUACCUUAUGUUGGUUAUGUGAUGAUCUGCUUCUCAGCUGUAAACUCCCUCUGCUCUCUGCUCUUUGGAAAGAUCUCUCACUUCAUGGGUAGAAAACUUCUAUUUGCAAUAGCCAUGGUUACAAACACCGCCUGUAUAAUAGCACUACUGCUGUGGAAACCUCAUCCUAAGCAGCUUGCUGUGUUUUUCAUAUUCCCUGCUCUUUGGGGCCUAUCUGAUGCUAUUUGGCAGACACAAACUAAUGGUGUAAAACCGAGCAACUGGAAGCAGCUGUGGCCAGCACGAAGCCCAAGGUGACACGCGCGCAUCCCCGGGAACACCAGCACUGGGUAGGCAGGUGUUACGUUCCAGGGUGGUCAGAGACAGCCCGAGCAGUUUUUGCAUUGUGGAACAGUGUCUGCAGACACGUGGGUGGGUUUCCAAGUUAUUAAAGAACGGGCUGAACACAGAGCCCUCUGGGGAUGCAGGCUGUGAAGAGAUGGGUGUUCAUCUGGGCACACGUUUAUACAGAGCAAAGUGAGUUAAAUUUGUGUUCAUUCAUUUAGACUAAUGCCUAAUCCUAGAGUUACUGCUUCAUCAUUGCAUUUCAAGAGCUUCUGCUUAUAAGUGAUAUGACUUCCUUAAAAGUGGGUACAUGUUUGUUGUUACUUACAAUAUUUGAUUUUCUUUGCAGUUAAUUACCAGGGAAUUUGAAGCUGACAUUUGUCAUAUCUAGGUUUGGUGGGCCAAUUUCCUGCAAACUACUCCUGGAAUGCCAGAGGUAUGAAACGUGUUCCAUUAAUACAAGCUUAUAUGAACAAAACACCAAAGAAGGCUUCAUUGUUCAGACAUUACUAACAGCUUAAAUCGUGAUUACCUAGAAGAGACUGUGAUGGCACAGUUUAUGACACGCUGGAUUCACGUACAAGAGUGCCUUUCACUGAAACACUGCUGAUAGCAAUGUUGAGAUGUACAGAAAAGACAAAGCUAACUGCAGUCUGUAAGUUGACUCAUCCAAAUUCUUAGCAUGGCUACUUUCAAUUACACUUUUUUUUUUCUUAAAUUAAUAAUCUGCUCAAGGAAUCAAACCAGCUACUAUAAAACUUGUUUAGUUUUGUAUAGGUGUUUUGGUUUGGGUUGGGUUUUUUUUUGUUGUUGUUGUUGUUUUGUGUUUUAGCAUGUGACAUAAUGCUGUUUAAUAAACAGACAGGAAAAAGAACUCCCAGGAAAGAAAGUGGAAGCAAAGAUGACAAAGAUGACAGUGGAAGCAAAGUUUCCUAGGGCCACCACACUAGGUUUGUGCACAAGCUCAGCAGCAAACGUCCUGGGGUCUGAAAGGAAGCACUCUCUGCAAGACUACUUUCCUCUUCAUGGUAUUUUAUCUAAUAAGGUGGAGAUGAUGGCAGAGGACUAUGAUAGAAGAGAUGUCUUGAGGCCAUUGGUGUUCCAUCUCCAUGGGAAUGUCCCUGCAGUAGCCUGUGAGGUUUUACUGGAACACAGCUGGACUGAAUUCGACAAAAAGGAGCAAGAUGACUCAGACUGGAAUCUGUACUGGUGGAACUCACCUUUCUGCGUGACAGACCACCACAGCAUUAAACCAUGGCAGACAGCCACUACCCAGAAGCAUCAUAAAGGAAAUAAAUUAGUGAGCAAACAGUUAACAUCAGAGCAGCAGAACACAAAGAAAAGGGUAGGCUAUUUAACUUUUGUGUUGAUGUUAGGUUAUAUAGACAUCAUAAACAACAAUUUUAGCUGGCAGGAGGCAGAUGUACACUGGAAUUGUAUUACAAAUAGAGAUAACUCAAACAAUACACAAUGUAAAAAUUAAAAUUAAAGUACUGGUUUUAAAAGUA